UCUCCGCUUGCGCGGGCAGUCUCUUUAGAGUCCCCACCAUAACGUGCUGGCAACUAAAGAUAGAGGUUGCGCUCGUUGCGGGACUUAACCCAACACCUCACGGCACGAGCUGACGACAGCCAUGCAGCACCUUGCUCCUUGUCCUUGCGGAACGAUACAUCUCUGCACCAGUCAAGGGCAUUCUAGCCCAGGUAAGGUUCCUCGCGUAUCAUCGAAUUAAACCACAUGCUCCUCCGCUUGUGCGGGCCCCCGUCAAUUCCUUUGAGUUUCAACCUUGCGGUCGUACUUCCCAGGUGGAUUACUUCGCGCGUUAGCUGCGUUACUAAAGGAUUUAACUCCUCCAACAACUAGUCAUCAUCGUUUAGGGCGUGGACUAC
This 377-nucleotide unclassified non-coding RNA is filed under the name uncultured Bacteroidia bacterium. Its description in RNAcentral is "contains 16S-23S intergenic spacer region". Lineage: Bacteria; Pseudomonadati; Bacteroidota; Bacteroidia. The record is from RNAcentral.